Molecule: long non-coding RNA, 1612 nt
Filed under: Homo sapiens (human)
Lineage: Eukaryota; Metazoa; Chordata; Mammalia; Primates; Hominidae
Description: non-protein coding LINC02519:25
Source: RNAcentral
UUCAGCUUACAAGGUUCUUUAUAAUUACUAUUACAGAUGAGGACAGCUCUGUGCCAGAGAAUGAGCUGGGAUCUGCCCUGACAAGUGGAGCCUCGUUUGAAAGUGUCGGUAACAGGCUCUGUGUCUGAACCAAAGUUUCCCUUGCAACCUGGUGUGGCUGCAUGAUGGAGUUUGGGCCGUGACAUAUGGUGGGUUUGACGUGUGCCACUCUUAGGGCCAACUUCUAAAGCCUCCAAGACACAGCCCCAUGCCCUGUGCCCUUCUGCAGCUCAGAGCAGAUGAGCCCAGUGACCUUGAGGCCCUUGAAGAUGGUGGAACCAGGAGACAUGAGGGGCCUUGGCCUGGAAACACAACUCGAAGGGAAAUCACUCAUCUGGAAAACGUGUUUGGACCCAUACCACACCGUGGCAAAUACCUGGUAAAACUGUCAUCUGAAAUUGCUUGGAAAUAGGACACUACCACCUAAACCCACAGCUCGUAGGCCAGGGCACCUCAACUGUAGUCCCCAGACCAGCAGCAUCGGUGUUACCUGGAAAAUUAAAAAUGCAAAGUUUUGGGCCCACUUCAGACCCCAGGUCAGAAAUUGUGGGUUGCAGAAAUCUGUGUUUUAAUAACCCUUCAGAUGACUGUGGUGCCCGACAAAGUUGAAAUGCCUGCUCCCAUGUGUGCUGGGUUUAGUUUGUGCUUUAGCAAAGCGGGAUAAGAAAGAAAGGAGGCCAGGAUGGAAUUCGCUGGUUUCCAACUAGAAGUGACAGAAAAUAGAAAGAGUCCAGUAAUGUGAGGUCUUGAAGUGUUGGGAGAAUUCAUUCAUCACUUCUAGAUUCCAGACAAUCAGAAAUAAAAUUUUAAAAGUCUUUCAAUGACAAACUAAGACUUCUCAGUUGGGAAAAAAAAAAAAAAAGGACUCAGUCUUGUUGCAGACAUGAGAUGAAGAGUGUGGUCUUUUCACAAAUGCCUGUGCAAGGGAGUCAAGGACAGAAGCCAUCCGGUGGGCUCCUUGGCACGGGGGCGGCUGAAGCAAACCAACCAGGAGCCCACGCAGCUGUCAAGGGCUUGUGUCAGCAAGUAAAGCCUAGACUGCUUGUGACUGUGAAGUGUAAAAGUGCCCCUGGGUCCUCAGGCCUGUGGACAGGACAAAGCCAAAGCCGCCCAGCGCCGUGUGAUGCGGCCACAGAGAACACGAGCCUCGGGAGAGAGGAGCCUGGGGCUGGAAAACAAGGGUGAAGGACGCUCCCCUCUGGCUGCAGGAGAGGGGCUGCUGAGGGCAAGAUCCAUCAUUUCUUGGGACCAAUGAUGCUGCUUCCUACUCUCUGCUUUCUGCCUGGGAGUUUUGUCUGGGACGCCUGUGUCUGCCCCACUCACUGUGUGGUGCAAGCUCCAUUUCCAGUGAGGACAACCGUGGCUGCCGAGAGCACCUUACAAGCCAGGCAUCCUCCUCUGAGCUCAAGGCAGCCUUGAGAAGUGGGACGAAGACUUCCUUCACGGGAAGAGGAGCGGCUCAGAGAAAGGAAGAGGCUAGUCCAGAACCACCACGUGGACAUCUUCUGUGAAGGCAAGGGCUCACCCUCACCCUGACGCCAGCCACCUGCCCCUCUUAAUAGGAGGGCGGGCC